UAAGAGACUGCCGGUGCAAACCGGAGGAAGGUGGGGAUGACGUCAAGUCCUCAUGGCCCUUUAUGGGUAGGGCUUCACACGUCAUACAAUGGUCGGUACAGAGGGUUGCCAAGCCGCGAGGUGGAGCCAAUCCCUUAAAGCCGAUCGUAGUCCGGAUCGUAGUCUGCAACUCGACUACGUGAAGUCGGAAUCGCUAGUAAUCGCAGAUCAGCAUGCUGCGGUGAAUACGUUCCCGGGUCUU
This 241-nucleotide ribosomal RNA is filed under the name uncultured Thauera sp. RNAcentral's name for it is "partial 16S ribosomal RNA". It matches the Rfam family "Bacterial small subunit ribosomal RNA", at positions 1142 to 1382 of the family's 1533-position model. Lineage: Bacteria; Pseudomonadati; Pseudomonadota; Betaproteobacteria; Rhodocyclales; Zoogloeaceae. The record is from RNAcentral.